UGGAGAGUUUGAUCCUGGCUCAGGACGAACGCUGGCGGCGUGCUUAACACAUGCAAGUCGAGCGGUAAGGCCCUUCGGGGUACACGAGCGGCGAACGGGUGAGUAACACGUGGGUGAUCUGCCUCGUACUCUGGGAUAAGCCUGGGAAACUGGGUCUAAUACCGGAUAUGACCAGGGAGUGCAUGCUCUUUGGUGGAAAGAUUUAUCGGUGCGAGAUGGGCCCGCGGCCUAUCAGCUUGUUGGUGGGGUAAUGGCCUACCAAGGCGACGACGGGUAGCCGGCCUGAGAGGGCGACCGGCCACACUGGGACUGAGACACGGCCCAGACUCCUACGGGAGGCAGCAGUGGGGAAUAUUGCACAAUGGGCGGAAGCCUGAUGCAGCGACGCCGCGUGCGGGAUGACGGCCUUCGGGUUGUAAACCGCUUUCGACAGGGACGAAGCGAGAGUGACGGUACCUGUAGAAGAAGCACCGGCCAACUACGUGCCAGCAGCCGCGGUA
Molecule: ribosomal RNA, 500 nt
Filed under: Nocardia transvalensis
Lineage: Bacteria; Bacillati; Actinomycetota; Actinomycetes; Mycobacteriales; Nocardiaceae
Description: bacterial SSU rRNA
Rfam family: Bacterial small subunit ribosomal RNA
Source: RNAcentral